RNAcentral lists this ribosomal RNA (1549 nucleotides) under Malassezia furfur. RNAcentral describes it as "eukaryotic LSU rRNA". The stretch from base 909 to 1549 matches the Rfam family "Eukaryotic large subunit ribosomal RNA", at positions 1 to 629 of the family's 3401-position model. Lineage: Eukaryota; Fungi; Basidiomycota; Malasseziomycetes; Malasseziales; Malasseziaceae. The record is from RNAcentral.
CAGAACGGUCGUCGCUACUACCGAUUGAUGGCUUAGUGAGCCUUUGGGAUUGGCAGCCAACACCGGCAACGGUAGCUGGCCGCCGAAAACUUAUGCAAACUUGGUCAUUUAGAGGAAGUAAAAGUCGUAACAAGGUUUCUGUAGGUGAACCUGCAGAAGGAUCAUUAGUGAAAGCAAGGGCCAGCCAUACGGACGGCGCUACUCGCGUACAACGUCUCUGGCGCCCAACUUUACACAAUAUCCACAAACCCGUGUGCACCGUUUGGAUGAGUUGGACCUCGCAAGAGGCUCGGCUCUCCAAUCCAUUUCUACCAAACUCGUAUGGUUUGUAUGAACGUGGAAAUCGUUGGACCGUAACUGGCCAACAACCAAUAAUACAACUUUCGACAACGGAUCUCUUGGUUCUCCCAUCGAUGAAGAGCGCAGCGAAACGCGAUAGGUAAUGUGAAUUGCAGAAUUCCGUGAAUCAUCGAAUCUUUGAACGCACCUUGCGCUCCAUGGUAUUCCCGUGGAGCAUGCCUGUUUGAGUGCCGUGAAUUCUCUCUCCCCAAGCGGUUGCGAUUGCACUGCUUUGGCGGACGAGGUUGGAUGGGUGCUUCUGCCUGUUUCGCAAGAAACAGGCUCGCCCGAAAUGCAUUAGCGCCUUUGGGACACACUCUGCAAACCGCUCUGAAAGGGAGGGCGGCAGAGGGGAUGGAGGAACUCCGCCCGUCAGCUAUACCAAACUUUGCCCCAGGCAAGCGCAUGGCAUGAUACGUCAUUUGCUGUGUGUGCGUCCUGAGGCAAGGGGCCGAUGUGGUGCCUUUGUCACUCUGUGGGUGUGUUGGUGCGCUACCAAUCCUGCGUGGAGGCUGGUCUGUGCGCAAGCAUGGAGCAGUUCUUGUGAACGCAUUCCCUUUUUUCAUUUCUGGUCUCAAAUCAGGUAGGAUCACCCGCUGAACUUAAGCAUAUCAUUAAGCGGAGGAAAAGAAACUAACAAGGAUUCCCCUAGUAACGGCGAGUGAAGAGGGAAGAGCUCAAAUUUGAAAGCUGGUACCUUCGGUAUCCGCGUUGUAACCUCGAGACACGUUUUCCGUGCGGCGCUAUGGACAAGUUCCUUGGAACAGGACAUCGUAGAGGGUGAAAAUCCCGUACUUGCCAUGGAUGUACCGCGCUUUGCGAUACGUGCUCUAAGAGUCGAGUUGUUUGGGAUUGCAGCUCAAAAUGGGUGGUAGACUCCAUCUAAAGCUAAAUAUCGGGGAGAGACCGAUAGCGAACAAGUACCGUGAGGGAAAGAUGAAAAGCACUUUGGAAAGAGAGUUAAAAGUACGUGAAAUUGUCGAAAGGGAAGCGCUUGAAGUCAGCCAUGCCGCUCAGGACUCAGCCUGGCUUUUGCUUGGUGUAUUUCCUGGGUAGCAAGUCAGCAUUGGUUUGGAUCGUCGGAGAAGCAUAGUCGGAAUGUGGCGCCCUCGGGCGUGUUAUAGCCUUCUAUUGGAUACGACGAUCUAGACCAAGGAACGCAGCGCGCCUUAUGGCGGGUCUUCGGACACCUUCGCGCUUAGGAUGCUGC